Molecule: transfer RNA, 71 nt
Filed under: Hemidactylus parvimaculatus
Lineage: Eukaryota; Metazoa; Chordata; Lepidosauria; Squamata; Gekkonidae
Description: tRNA-Trp
Source: RNAcentral
AGAAAUUUAGGUUACACCCUUUAAACCAAGAGCCUUCAAAGCACUAAACAGAGAACCCCACUCUAAUUUCU